AGGACGAACGCUGGCGGCGUGCUUAACACAUGCAAGUCGAGCGAGGCCCGCCUUUCGGGGUGGUGUUCUAGCGGCGAACGGGUGAGUAACACGUGGGCAACCUGCCCUCAGCUCUGGGAUAACUCCAAGAAAUUGGGGCUAAUACCGGAUAUGACUGCUGACCGCAUGGUCUGGUGGUGGAAAGAUUUAUCGGCUGGGGAUGGGCCCGCGGCCUAUCAGCUUGGUUGGUGGGUAGUGGCCUACCAAGGCGACGACGGGUAGCCGGCCUGAGAGGGUGACCGGCCACACUGGGACUGA
This 297-nucleotide ribosomal RNA is filed under the name uncultured soil bacterium. Its description in RNAcentral is "partial 16S ribosomal RNA". It matches the Rfam family "Bacterial small subunit ribosomal RNA", at positions 26 to 322 of the family's 1533-position model. The record is from RNAcentral.